This 72-nucleotide transfer RNA is filed under the name Eubacteriales Family XIII. Incertae Sedis bacterium. RNAcentral describes it as "tRNA-Arg". It matches the Rfam family "tRNA". Rfam says of the family: Transfer RNA (tRNA) molecules are approximately 80 nucleotides in length. Their secondary structure includes four short double-helical elements and three loops (D, anti-codon, and T loops). Further hydrogen bonds mediate the characteristic L-shaped molecular structure. tRNAs have two regions of fundamental functional importance: the anti-codon, which is responsible for specific mRNA codon recognition, and the 3' end, to which the tRNAs corresponding amino acid is attached (by aminoacyl-tRNA synthetases). tRNAs cope with the degeneracy of the genetic code in two manners: having more than one tRNA (with a specific anti-codon) for a particular amino acid; and 'wobble' base-pairing, i.e. permitting non-standard base-pairing at the 3rd anti-codon position. Lineage: Bacteria; Bacillati; Bacillota; Clostridia; Peptostreptococcales; Anaerovoracaceae. The record is from RNAcentral.
GGUCCUAUAAUUUAAAGGAUAAAAUAUUGGUCUUCUAAACCAAUUAUACAGGUUCGAUUCCUGUUGGGACCG